CUUUCCAUUGAUUUGCUGCUCUAGUCUUUUAGUAAGCAGUUAAUACACAUGGGAGAGAACAAUAUUAGGCUGUUGUAAAUGGAGUUGGAGUAACAAUUUCAUCUCUUCUGUGAAGUCCAGAUAUUG
This 126-nucleotide small nucleolar RNA is filed under the name Zalophus californianus (California sea lion). Its description in RNAcentral is "Small nucleolar RNA SNORA20 (ENSZCAG00015000025.1)". It matches the Rfam family "Small nucleolar RNA SNORA20". Rfam says of the family: ACA20 is a member of the H/ACA class of snoRNA that guide the sites of modification of uridines to pseudouridines. The record is from RNAcentral. Lineage: Eukaryota; Metazoa; Chordata; Mammalia; Carnivora; Otariidae.